CAUUUGGAUGCAAAUCUCCAAGAGUUGAGCAGUGAGCUGACGUCAGGCAGGCCUUACUAUACCUUUACCAUCUUGUCAACAGAGCCACAUCAUGUGAGAUUGGGGGCGAACUGGAACUACGUCGCAUUUUUCUUGGGGAACCUCUCUGGACUACAACAAAAAAAGAACAGGAUUGUUUUUGAACUGUUUCAGGGCAACAAUGUCGCCUUAAAACAGGCCACAUCAUCCCCUCCGCUGUUUUCUCUAUAUUUAAUUGUUUUUGUACAAAUCAUGUAUGUGGGAUACCUACUGGAUAAAGAAAGCGGCAUGUAUCACCAAGGGCCAGUGAGAAGAUCGAGCAUCAAUCUGCCUCCGCAGAACUUUGUUUCCACGCCACAGUACCCCGACUUUACUGGAUACCAUCAUGUGCCAAACAUGGAUACGCACGCACAGUCUUCGGGGAGUUGGGGACCUACAUAUGGCGCCCCAAGAGAGGACUGGGGUGCAUACAGCCUGGGACCCCCUAAUACAAUUCCUACACCCAUGAACAACUCGUCUCCUGCACAGGUUCCCUACUGCUCAUCUGAGUACAGUCAUAUGCAUCCUCCAGGGUCUGCGGUGUUACAGCCGCCGCCGGAGAACGUUACUGUUGCACAACUUUCUCCCGAUAGAGAAAGACGCAAUUCGUACCAGUGGAUGAGUAAAACUGCGCAAUCAUCUUCCACAGGUAAAACAAGAACGAAGGAGAAAUACAGGGUAGUGUACACAGACCACCAGCGACUGGAGCUGGAGAAGGAGUUUCAUUUCAACAGAUACAUCACCAUCAGGAGGAAAUCUGAACUGGCUGUCAACCUCGGUCUGUCGGAAAGACAGGUGAAAAUCUGGUUUCAGAACCGCAGAGCCAAGGAGAGGAAGCUGAUUAAGAAGAAGUUGGGUCAGUCCGACGGCAGCGGGGGGUCGGUGCACAGUGACCCGGGUUCAGUGAGCCCGCUGCCCGUGCCGGGGUCCCUCAGUCCCACGGACAUCCACGGCUCUCUGUACCCUCCUCAGAUGAACACCUUGCCAUCGAUCAGGAAUAUACAGCAAGUGACUGUGACUCAGUAAAGCAGUUCGCCCUCUGGACCACGUACCAUAACUGAGCACUCCGACACGCUGACAGGACACUUGACAGGCAGCCAGAGGAUCUGAACUCACGUCCUGAAGCACAAAGCUGUGGAUGAACAUUUGAUUUAUAGCAACGAAAUGCUGGAGGCUCUUGAAAUAUUGCUUUUUUUUAUAUAUAGAAUAGUUCUAAUAAUGUGGGGAAAUUUAAACAAAAAAAAACAAAAACGAAAAAACAACGACGUGUUUCAAACUUAAAAGCUUUUAAAUUGUUUGUGAGUUAUUAAAAAUAUAAAUAUCAUUUCUUUUUGUAUGUGACGAGCUGUACGUGUUUGUGAAUAUUAAAAAAAAGAGAAUUCAGGGACCUUUCAAAGGAAGUUUAAAAACUGGAUUGUAUGUCACACUGGACUGCUUUUGACUUGACAAAUCAUUUUUCAGCACAGUUGUAUCCACUGAAGUGAAGCAGGGAGGAGCAGGUGAACGAGUGGAGCGGUCGUUUGAUGGACAAUUUCAAAAUGUAAAUAAAACGCUUUUUUUGCAGUGGGCCUACACCUGUCUUUUUUCCCUUAUUGUUGACUCUUGUUUUGAGCUAUGCAAAGUCUGGGUCACAUUUGCUUGAUGUUUUACAUUUAAAAUGCUUCUUGUAGCCCGACACCGAUAUGCACUGUUGUGACGAGAUUAAUGGUCAUAGCUUUAGUGCCUUUUGAGGUGAUUAUUUGAGGCACCAUAAUAAUACAUUUCCAUAAGGUGGUUGUUCCGAUGCAUAUUCCAAAUAAUAUACCCUGAAAAAUCAUCAAACUGUAAAUAACUUUAACCUUAAAAACCUGAAAUGCCAAAUGUCAAGCACCCAAAUAGGUCUGCUGAUCAAUGCAAUGCAUCUAUCUUUCUUUUAUUGGAAUUAUAGACAUUUUUUUACGCAGCUCCGACAGGAAUCACAUUGGCUUAUACAUAAACAAGGCAAUUACUUUGCAUCGCACUCUGUGGUCUGUGCACGUGGUUUGUUGUCAGUUCUCUCUGAAGUGUGCAUGGUCCAUGGAUGAAAUAUGGGAUUUCUUUUAUAUUCAACACGUCAAACACAACACCGUUUCUUCAUCAGCUGCACCAUCUGUGUUAUUGUAUCGUAGCUACAUUAGACACACUACAAUCAUUUGAAGGUGCCUAUUGAAUACUUCCACAGCACAAGUAGUAGUCUGUGUGGUGUUUCAUUUUAACUGGUCAGGUGGCUACUUUAGGACGUCUCCUUACUUUGACCGAGUAUACUCUCAACGAUGUAUCCCAAACGCCGGGUGCAGCAUUUGUAAUACUAAUAAAAAUUAUGAUAUCACGUGAAAGGUUAAUCUGCCCUCCCUCUGCUUGCUUCUCAUAAUGAAGGACGUUGAUGAUAUUGUUGAUGAUAUUUGGCUCUGAACGCACAGGGGCGAUGGUGGUCCCUCUGCCCCACGAGCUCCGCGCUCUGCUCCGCGCUCCCGCCGCUUCCAGCGUCCGUCCGUGCGCGCGCCCGCUCGCAGACGUCAUGAGCGUCUUACUGCCCAACAUGGCGGACUUCGAUACCAUUUAUGAGUUGGAAGACGAAGAGGACGAGCGCGUCGUGAACGAGGAGCUGCUGCCCAGACACUGUCCGGAGCCCGUGGUCAUGCGAGGGGCCGGGCACAUCACAGUGUAAGCGGAGCCGCGCUUUGUCGCUCGCGUCCGUCCCGCGCGGCGCUUUGUUGUCCCGUAGCGUGGCUAGCACCCGCUAGCAUGCGAGCUAACGCAAAUCACAACAACUGACGGUGAACGGGCCAUACGCUGAGUGUGACACGGGGACGGACGGGUUGCCCUCGAACGCAGCGUCGGUUUGGACUGAGCAACAGAUUUGACACGGAAUUUCCCUCUGUUCUCACGGGAAAGCCCCAACUUCCCCAAACCGUCCCAUUCAAACCUCUCCGAGUGGGUUUUGAUCUGAUGGAGAUGCAUUUCAAGUAACGAAGAAAGGAGCCUGAAUGUGCUGCUGUCCGGCUCUGUAAAUGAGUAAGCCGUCUAUGGGCCUCAGUUGACGGCGACCCCAGUGUUGUGAAGCGUCCGACUCCAGGUGAUAAAAUAAUGAAAUGGAGACUCUCCCGGAAAGCUUCCUGGGUCAGACACAGAGACACAAAAAGGCUGCAGGGGUAAGAGCAGGCUGAGGGAAGUGUGGGCCAAUAAAAAGUACCUUCGUAUUGUGACCCAGGGUGACGUGAUGGAUGAGGUCACAAUUAUGAUGAUUGAAGGCUGCAGAUCAGGCCCUGCUGGGCUUUAUUCCGAGGUCCUCGGCUGUUUGCAAAGAGACCUUUGCAUCCUGUCAUAAAAGAUUACGACCCCGGUUUUAUGGCGUACAGACUCAGAGAGGAAUGAGCAUCCAUUCAAGUUGUUUGGCCGGCGCUGCCACAGGCACUGGGCUUAUCUCUCCUUUGAAUCCCUCCUUGCCUUGAACAGACUAGAGCUCAGUUAGCGAGUCAGACCCAUUGCAUUCAGAGAUCUCAUCUCAUCUCGGGACAACAUCUGCAACUAUCUACCUGUUGGUUUUCUGAAGCUCUUUGAUCUUUGUGCACAGGUUUCUUUGGAGCAAUUAGGAACCUUUUCUUGUCAGCGCCAUCACCAACAACAUUUGAAUUGUCUUACUCCCUGUUGUAUUAAGAUAUUUGCUUCAUGCACACAUUUUAUGAUUAAAAGAGUGUACACACUGGGCAUCCAUCAUUUCUUUUUUUUC
RNA transcript from Scophthalmus maximus (turbot), 3805 nucleotides. It is a transcript of the gene named cysteine-rich hydrophobic domain 1, with no coding region annotated. The record is from RefSeq and is a predicted model, not a curated record. NCBI's taxonomy places the organism in Eukaryota, Metazoa, Chordata, Actinopteri, Pleuronectiformes, Scophthalmidae. The transcript is spliced from 5 exons.